AUUAAAUCUCAGCCACUUAAACUCUCAACAAUAACUGCUGUGGUGGUAGUUCAGGGCAGUUGUGUACGCUCCCAUGGUUUGCGGCCUAUCUUCUCCACUACGCACGGUUACUAUGAAACUGGGAACGUGGGUAGACAGUUAAAUUACACUGCACUUAUAAAAACCCUCACCUUAUCUCGUGGUCUCCUCAUUCCGUAGAAACCGUCAUCCUUGUAUGAGAAUUUCAGGUGCAAUCGCCAAUCGAGGAAGUUUUUGGCAGUUCAAGGAUAUCCUCUCCAUUCCCCCAUCACAGUGGCAUCGGAUUCUCAAAAAGAAAAAAUCCAGUCCAAGUUCAGAGCUAUGGUUAGGGUUACACCACAGUUGAAAGUUAAAGGAAGGUGAUUGGAACCUUUGUAAUCAACCGAUUAAUGUAAAUCAUGGACCUUUCGAAGAUUGAAGAGAAUUUGUUCUCAUUUGGUGAACCAAAGAAUGUAAAUCGUCUCGUAUUUUGAGAACAUUUGAUGACGAAGCACAAGCAAUGAAGUCUGCUCGUAACUCAUCUCGAAUGUUGGAAGAAGCAACUGCAACUGGAACAACCAUCCUUGCUAAAUACACUGAACAAAGGGAUCACUUAAAGGUAGCCAGUUUUUCAAUUGUUGAACUGUAUUUAAUUUAAGCACUGAUGUGCUUUUUAUUUUAUUUGAUAAAGACCAGAUGUUGCACUUUUUGCUGUAGAUAUUUUCUUGCACCACAAAAUUUUUGCUCAGCUAUUCUAAUGUGGCCAGUAACUUAACCUAAUUGGCUAAUUGUUACCGUUUUUUAGAGUGUGUGUCGUGCAUAAUACUUAGUUGUUCAAAGUGUAAGGAAUUUUCUAUUAAAGAAUCUGCUCCAAAGAUAUCUUGUGGCAUGGAAAAUUUUUGUGGCCCUCAAUAAUCAAAUUCAGAUGAGCUUUGCGUCUAGAUAACCUUCACAAAGUGAAUCAUUUGCUGUUGCACCUGUAAUCUCAAGUGGUUUUGAUGUAUGUGAUGGCCCCACCUACUCGGGUCAAACACCAGUUAGAGGUACAUCUAAAAGACAAGCUACAUCCACCAAUUAGAUUGUUUACUCUACAUUAGAAGUGACAAAGGGUGGGUUACACGUUCGAGUCAAAAAUAGCUAAUUUAUUACAUGCCAAUGCGGGACGGGUAGAAUUGCAAGCACUUUCCGUAUUUUACUUUGUAGAUCUUUAUAAAUACUUAAUUCCAUAUAUGAUUAACUCUUGGGUUUAUAGUUGGACCAACCACUGAUUAAAGGGAUGUUUGGCAAGCAUCAAUGACCUUUGAGGGCUGAUGUUCCAUUUAUUUGCAAACCAGUUUUGUCAAAGAAAAGAUUAACAUUCUCCUCCAGAAUAUGUUUUACCGGAACAGAUGAAGAUCACACACAAGAAAUUUUUAUGUGCUUGUGGCAGUUUUAUAAUUUGACCAACAUGGGAUGUUCUUGCAGAACAUAAGUAUGAUGGUGAAGCACUUAUUAUGGUUGAUUUAGGUACGUCAAUCUCUCAUUUUUGCUUAAAUGUUUGUAACUUCACUUAGAAUAUGCAUCAGAGGUGGCAAAUGGAUGGGGUAGGCAACAAGGAAGUGGUUCAUAUAAAAAUGGGUAAUUUUAAGCAAACAAACAGAUAAAAAAAUUUUAGGGGAAAUUUUGAAAUAUUGUUAAUAGCUUGAAUAAUUUCAUAAAGGCCCUUUUAUAUUGGGGCCUAAGUAUGUCGUGUCGAGCAAAACAUGAAAAUUUAAGUUUGACGAUCAAAAUAUGAAGUUGACUUCUUAAAUAAACGUGUGGUUAGCUAAAUUCAAAGAUUUAUGUCCUAAACUGUAGUCUUGAAAUUGUCGGUACACGAUCAUAGCCCUAAAAGCUGAGGGGGCAUGUUAUCUUAUCAAGCUGAUCAUCAUUUCAAGUGGAAGAACAUUUGAUAUUAUAGCUUUAAAUACUCAAAAAUUACAGGCCAGUUAGAAACUUUCAACUUGUAUAUUUUACUAUGUGAAUAUUUCUACUAAAGCAGUUGUCAACUAAAGCUUUUAAUUUCGGAUUCUUCAAUUGGUGCUGAAUAACUUCAGUAAGGCAGUUGUCAAAAAAGCUUGAAUUGAGCACCAACUAUUGGUACUAAUCAAAACCAACUGAUUCUUUCUUUAUUUUUGUAAGUUUUUAUCACUACUUCAUUAUGUGACUUCUUUGAAUCCUUAGGCAUAUUGCUGCAUCAUUUCACCCAUUAUUCUGCACUCAAAGUUUGGAGCAAAUACAAGUAAAUGAAAAGAAUUUUUGCAUCAAAUGUUACUUAAAAUGGAGUGGUACAUUUUCCUUUCAAUGCUUUCAUCCUGUUGCUUAGAUUCUUCCUUUACAGAUUCAAGAAAAGCAGUUAUGUAAACUACUUCAUCAUGUUCCAAAUAUUUUAUUUCCCUCAUGAUUUAUAAUUUUACGAUCAAGUUCGACUUUUUGCCAAA
This is a long non-coding RNA of Helianthus annuus (common sunflower), 2456 nucleotides long. RefSeq lists it as uncharacterized. The transcript is spliced from 3 exons. Lineage: Eukaryota; Viridiplantae; Streptophyta; Magnoliopsida; Asterales; Asteraceae. The record is from RefSeq and is a predicted model, not a curated record.